This is a non-coding RNA of Donghicola sp. JL3646, 101 nucleotides long. The record is from Rfam. NCBI's taxonomy places the organism in Bacteria, Pseudomonadati, Pseudomonadota, Alphaproteobacteria, Rhodobacterales, Roseobacteraceae.
UCUCAUCAUCAAGAGCUGGGCUUAUGCCCACACCAACCUGCGAACUCGGCAAGGUGGUUUCCAUGAAGGGAUGUGGCCUGUGGGCAAAAACGAGCAAAUCC